GGUGGCUUAGUGGUAGAGUGCUUGCCUUGCAUGCAUGAGGCUCUGGGUUUGAUUCCUCAGUACCA
RNAcentral lists this transfer RNA (65 nucleotides) under Dipodomys ordii (Ord's kangaroo rat). It matches the Rfam family "tRNA". From Rfam's summary of the family: Transfer RNA (tRNA) molecules are approximately 80 nucleotides in length. Their secondary structure includes four short double-helical elements and three loops (D, anti-codon, and T loops). Further hydrogen bonds mediate the characteristic L-shaped molecular structure. tRNAs have two regions of fundamental functional importance: the anti-codon, which is responsible for specific mRNA codon recognition, and the 3' end, to which the tRNAs corresponding amino acid is attached (by aminoacyl-tRNA synthetases). tRNAs cope with the degeneracy of the genetic code in two manners: having more than one tRNA (with a specific anti-codon) for a particular amino acid; and 'wobble' base-pairing, i.e. permitting non-standard base-pairing at the 3rd anti-codon position. The record is from Rfam by way of RNAcentral. Lineage: Eukaryota; Metazoa; Chordata; Mammalia; Rodentia; Heteromyidae.